GUUGGCUGCCAAGGAGGGAGGCCCUGGUGAGCCAUGAUGUCUAAUGUCGCCGUCCACCCCUCCCUCCCCAGGCCGGAGAGACCUGACCCUGGCCACACACUACAGAAGAGCCUGCCCUGUUGACGUCUGAAGGGACCUAGCAGAGGCCUUGGACACCCUGAAUAUGCCAGAAAUGGGUCCAGAGACAUGACCUCGUCCAGCUUUCAAGUUCAAGAGGCUUUGAGGGGCUUACGAGCUCUAUGUAUACCAAGACCGGCAAGGACGAGAACAAAGGUCACCUGAAGGAAGCAGGUGGAAUCUAUGUUAUUGCCCCCAGAGUUGGGUUUGUUCCUUCUGAGACAUCCAUCCUGGUUCUAAGAAGCUUGGGAGAAGAGAGCUCACGUGGAGGUAUGUCAGGGAGAGGAGGAGAUGCAUUCCUCUCUGGAGAAACGCAAAGAACACUCAGGAUGAUGACAGUGGGGAUCGCACACUCGGGUCAGGGGUCAUGGUUUUCUGGAGAUUGAACAUAUGGUUCAAGAUUUUCACCCUCUUCACACUGUACCCUCUAGUGCUUGGAGGCCGCACCGUCCCAACCAUGAAGGAUGUGCAUGAGCACAAAUGUGAGAAGGAGCAAUUGGAUUCAAUCUCCUUGUUUUGUGUCUGAAAGAACCAAGACCCCCAUAAGCAUGUGACCUUCUCAGGGUCAUAGUGGCGGGCGACAGAGUGGGGCCAGACCCAGCGCUGCUAUCACAGCUAAGGU
This is a long non-coding RNA of Canis lupus familiaris (dog), 739 nucleotides long. RefSeq lists it as uncharacterized. The transcript is spliced from 3 exons. NCBI's taxonomy places the organism in Eukaryota, Metazoa, Chordata, Mammalia, Carnivora, Canidae. The record is from RefSeq and is a predicted model, not a curated record.